RNAcentral lists this ribosomal RNA (269 nucleotides) under uncultured prokaryote. Its description in RNAcentral is "partial 16S ribosomal RNA". It matches the Rfam family "Bacterial small subunit ribosomal RNA", at positions 524 to 792 of the family's 1533-position model. The record is from RNAcentral.
UACGGAGGGUGCAAGCGUUGUUCGGAUUUACUAGGCGUAAAGCGCGUGUAGGUGUCUUAGUAAGCCUUGGCUUAAAGUCUACGGCUUAACUGUAGAAAGUGUUAGGGAACUACUAGGAUUGAGGUUAAGAGAGGAGAGCAGAAUUCCUGGUGUAGCGGUGAAAUGCGUAGAUAUCAGGAAGAAUACCUGUGGCGAAGGCGGCUCUCUGGAUUAAAUCUGACACUGAGACGCGAAAGCGUGGGGAGCAAACAGGAUUAGAUACCCGCGUA